Molecule: ribosomal RNA, 451 nt
Filed under: uncultured bacterium
Lineage: Bacteria
Description: bacterial SSU rRNA
Rfam family: Bacterial small subunit ribosomal RNA
Source: RNAcentral
UCCAGACUCCUACGGGAGGCAGCAGUGGGGAAUAUUGGACAAUGGGGGGAACCCUGAUCCAGCGACGCCGCGUGAGUGAAGAAGUAUUUCGGUAUGUAAAGCUCUAUCAGCAGGGAAGAAAGAAAUGACGGUACCUGACUAAGAAGCCCCGGCUAACUACGUGCCAGCGGCCGCGGUAAUACGUAGGGGGCAAGCGUUAUCCGGAUUCACUGGGUGUAAAGGGAGCGUAGACGGCCAUGCAAGCCUGGAGUGAAAGCCCGGGGCCCAACCCCGGGACUGCUCUGGGAACUGUGCGGCUGGAGUGCGGGAGGGGCAGGCGGAAUUCCUGGUGUAGCGGUGAAAUGCGUAGAUAUCAGGAGGAACACCGGCGGCGAAGGCGGCCUGCUGGACCGCGACUGACGUUGAGGCUCGAAAGCGUGGGGAGCAAACAGGAUUAGAUACCCUUGUACCA